RNAcentral lists this ribosomal RNA (300 nucleotides) under uncultured bacterium. Its description in RNAcentral is "bacterial SSU rRNA". It matches the Rfam family "Bacterial small subunit ribosomal RNA", at positions 789 to 1084 of the family's 1533-position model. The record is from RNAcentral.
GGUAGUCCACGCCCUAAACGAUGAGCAUUAGAUAUUAGACAUUAAGUCUAGUAUCACAGUUAACACAUUAAAUGUUCCGCCUGAGUAGUACGGCCGCAAGGUUGAAAUUCAAAGGAAUUGACGGGAACCCGCACAAGUGGUGGAGCAUGUGGUUUAAUUCAAUACGAAGCGAAGAACCUUACCAAGGCUUGACAUGGGAGGUAGUAGCAGCAAUGUUAUUACUAAAUUAGAGAAAUCUAAUUGAAUCACACAGGUGGUGCAUGGUCAUCGUCAGUUCGUGCCGUGAGGUGUAUGGUUAAG